GAGAAAACAUCAGCAUCUCUCAUCAGCUUGGUGCGUCUGCAAGCACUCACCAGGAAGCUCGAAAAACGUUAGGAGGGUAGGACAGGAUUUAAAGACCAUUCACCCUAGACUACAUCAUCCCUCCACCCCAAUCACAGGAAGGAUAUACAUUAUGAUAUGUUCUAAGAGAAGAAAAGAUCCAUACAAUAAAACCACCAAAAUUUUCAGACAAUGUGGAAACUAGAUCUUUUUCUUUUCUGAAGUACAAAAAAGUAAUUUCUAGAAAAAAAAACCACACAUGGCUGACUAGAGCAGCAUCGUGUCCUGGGAAGAGCAGCAGGGACUGAUGCAGAGUGAAAUCAACAGAAUCAGGAGAAAAAUUAUAUGUGGACAACAGCAAGAUAAAUACAACUUUGAAUACAUUCAGAAUUCUGAUUAAUGCAGUGUCCAAUCAGCAUUCCAGAAGAAUAAUGAUGAAGCACGCUGCCUACAUUCUAACAAAGAGGUGAUGGACUUAA
Molecule: long non-coding RNA, 497 nt
Filed under: Phascolarctos cinereus (koala)
Lineage: Eukaryota; Metazoa; Chordata; Mammalia; Diprotodontia; Phascolarctidae
Description: lncRNA (ENSPCIG00000021935.2)
Source: RNAcentral